UUCCUGUUGGCUCAGAGGUUAAAGCACAUGCCUCCAAUGCAGGAGACCCAGGUUUGAUCCCUGGGUCGGGAA
This 72-nucleotide transfer RNA is filed under the name Ovis aries (sheep). It matches the Rfam family "tRNA". Rfam says of the family: Transfer RNA (tRNA) molecules are approximately 80 nucleotides in length. Their secondary structure includes four short double-helical elements and three loops (D, anti-codon, and T loops). The record is from Rfam by way of RNAcentral. Lineage: Eukaryota; Metazoa; Chordata; Mammalia; Artiodactyla; Bovidae.